This 285-nucleotide ribosomal RNA is filed under the name Clostridioides difficile. RNAcentral describes it as "partial 16S ribosomal RNA". It matches the Rfam family "Bacterial small subunit ribosomal RNA", at positions 1258 to 1533 of the family's 1533-position model. Lineage: Bacteria; Bacillati; Bacillota; Clostridia; Peptostreptococcales; Peptostreptococcaceae. The record is from RNAcentral.
UAAGGUGGAGCUAAUCCCUUAAAGCUACUCUCAGUUCGGAUUGUAGGCUGAAACUCGCCUACAUGAAGCUGGAGUUACUAGUAAUCGCAGAUCAGAAUGCUGCGGUGAAUGCGUUCCCGGGUCUUGUACACACCGCCCGUCACACCACGGGAGUUGGAGACGCCCGAAGCCGAUUAUCUAACCUUUUGGAAGAAGUCGUCGAAGGUGGAAUCAAUAACUGGGGUGAAGUCGUAACAAGGUAGCCGUAUCGGAAGGUGCGGCUGGAUCACCUCCUUUCUAAGGAGA